CCUCGGGAGGCAGCAGUGGGGAAUUUUGGACAAUGGGGGCAACCCUGAUCCAGCCAUUCCGCGUGAGUGAAGAAGGCCUUCGGGUUGUAAAGCUCUUUCGCAAGGGAAGAAAACUUAUGAUCGAAUAAAUCAUGAGGUUGACGGUACCUUGAUAAGAAGCACCGGCUAACUACGUGCCAGCAGCCGCGGUAAUACGUAGGGUGCGAGCGUUAAUCGGAAUUACUGGGCGUAAAGCGUGCGCAGGCGGUUUUGUAAGUCGGAUGUGAAAUCCCCGGGCUCAACCUGGGAACUGCGUUCGAAACUGCAAGGCUAGAGUGUGUCAGAGGGGGGUUAGAAUUCCACGUGUAGCAGUGAAAUGCGUAGAGAUGUGGAGGAAUACCAAUGGCGAAGGCAGCCCCCUGGGAUAACACUGACGCUCAUGCACGAAAGCGUGGGGAGCAAACAGGAUUAGAUACCCUGGUAGUCCACGCCCUAAACGNUGUCAACUAGUUGUUGGUAGAGUAAAACUCUAUGUAGUAACGUAGUACGUAACGUACGUGUAGUUAGUACCGCCGUCGGGUAGGUACGGUACGGUCGAGAAGUUAAACGUAACGAAGAAGUAGACGGCGUGAGACGUGCGACGGACGACGACGACGGGAGGUUAGG
Molecule: ribosomal RNA, 645 nt
Filed under: uncultured bacterium
Lineage: Bacteria
Description: bacterial SSU rRNA
Rfam family: Bacterial small subunit ribosomal RNA (bases 1-553)
Source: RNAcentral